UAAAUCAGUGAUAAUCUGUUUGAUUUUCUCUCCCAUUGGAUAACCGUGGGAAAUCUAGAGCUAAUACGUGCGGUAUCUUGGCGGACUUUCGGGUUUGUCAAAGCAUUUAUUAGACUAAACCAUCUACUGUGCUUGCACAGUAAGGGGAAUCUGGAUAACUUUGCUGAUCGUAUGGCCUUAGUGCCGGCGACGUUUCAAUUGAGUUUCUGCCCUAUCAACUUGUUGGUAAGGUAUUGGCUUACCAAGGUUGCAACGGGUAACGGGGAAUCAGGGUUCGAUUCCGGAGAGGGAGCCUGAGAAACGGCUACCACAUCCAAGGAAGGCAACAGGCGCGCAAAUUACCCAAUCUAGACAGUAGGAGGUGGUGAAGAGAAUUACUAAGUGGUGGUCUAAUUGAUCACUUGUUUGGAAUGAACGUAACUUAAGAAAUUCGUUGAUAAACAACUGGAGGGCAAGUCCUGGUGCCAGCAGCCGCGGUAAUUCCAGCUCCAGUAGUUUGCUUUAAAGUUGUUGCGUUUAAAACGCUCGUAGUUGGAUCACGCAGYAGUGUUUAGUAAUCUAUGGUGUGAUGCCGAUCGUACAGUACGUCUUCGCACGACUGUCGAGAGAAUUCAACAAUAGAUGUAACCGCUAGACAUUGCUAGUUGCACGUGAGAUAGGUUGUUGGCCUUGAAUGAGCCGAUAAUUUGGUCUUGCGGGGUGUGCCUUGAAUAAAACAGAGUGCUUAAAGCAGGUCGUUGCCUGAAUGUUAUAGCAUGGAACGAACAAUCGUGUAUAUGUGUCCGCUUUCAGAUGGUAGUUGGUUUUUGACUGAUUGUUGUUUGAGACGGGCAUGGCACCCACCAAAGUAUGGCUGUUGGUUCCAUAUUAGGUGAUGAUUAACAGGAGCGGUUGGGGGCAUCAGUAUUUGGCCGCGAGAGGUGAAAUUCUUAGACCGGCCAAGGACUAACAAAUGCAAAGGCACUUGUCUAGACCGUUUCCAUUAAUCAAGAACGAAAGUGGGAGGUUCGAAGACGAUCAGAUACCGUCGUAGUUCCCACCGUAAACUAUGCCGACCUGGGAUCAGUUUAGAGAUGUUACAAGCUCUAGAUUGGUCCCCCUGGGAAACCUGAAGUUUUUCGGUUACGGGGAGAGUAUGGUCGCAAGGCUGAAACUUAAAGGAAUUGACGGAAGGGCACCACCAGGGGUGGAGCCUGCGGCUUAAUUUGACUCAACACGGGGAAACUUACCUGGUCCGGACAUCGAUAGGAUUAUCAGAUCGAUAGCUCUUAUAUGAUACGAUGAGUGGUGGUGCAUGGCCGUUCUUAGUUCGUGGAGUGAUCUGUCAACUUCAUUGUGGUAACGAACGAGACCACAAUCUCCAUUUAAGAGGUGGAAGAAGGCGCCUAGCAAGCGUGAUUUCGGUUGCGAUAGUUAGGUGCUACAGGUAGGGUGAGAUGCCUUAUGGGCGAGUGUGUAGAGGCAACUCUUAUCACAAGCUUUUAGGGUGACUCAUUUCUCCCUUCUAUCACGCAGCAGUUGAUCUUGAUUGGCUGUUGCCUUAUGGAGAGACAACGAGGUAUAAACAAGCUCGAGGAAGAGUGGCUAUAACAGGUCAGUGAUGCCCUUCGAUGUUCAGGGCUGC
This 1624-nucleotide ribosomal RNA is filed under the name Myxobolus rewensis. RNAcentral's name for it is "SSU rRNA". Lineage: Eukaryota; Metazoa; Cnidaria; Myxozoa; Bivalvulida; Myxobolidae. The record is from RNAcentral.